UAGAGCCUGGCUUGGCUGAGGUAAGAAAACCAUGUGCUGAACGUGGAUCUGGAAGAGGGAUUGAGCGAGAAUAUUGUCUGCAUCCUUGACUAGAAGUUGGUGUGGAACAUUUGAGUGUGUUUAUGGGUGUAAGACGCACCAACAAGAAUUCAGAAUCAUUCAACAUGAAGUUGAAGAGAGAAAUUGGAGUACAUCCAAAUGCUUGGAACUUUAUUGAUUGUCUUCAAAAAAUUGAAAAAUCGACCAAGUGACGAUUAUGGCCGGGCCAUGGUGAACCGACCCUUGUCUUGGGAGCGGAAGGCCCGAUAUAUUUCGCGGGACCAGAACCUGAUGCGGUUGAGCCACCAAUUGGAAGCUGGAAACAUCAACAUCAGAGACUUCCUAUUGGCAGCAGCCGAAACAAUCGGGUAGAAUCUGCGACAUUAUGAUGAAAAUUCAUCACCAAACAAUGAAGAAGAGGAGGAGGAUUUGGGCCCACCAGUGGCGCGCAUUCCACCAGUUGAUGAUAAUAUAGCGGCGGGGCAAGACAUCGAAGUAGGAGAUCCAGGAGUGGAGUAAGUUAUAAACUUACUAGAAGAAGGUAGAAAGAAAAUAAUAUAUUAUAGUGUAAAAAGUCUUAUUUUUUAAAUUCACGGUAUUAUUUUAGUCUCUAUCCUUUAUCUGAAAACUUCAUGGACAGUAGCACAAAUAUUAGUACCGUACUUUCCACCAAUAAUAGUAUGCAUGAAUAAAAAGAAUUAAAUGUCAAAAGCUCUUCAGAACCAACAUCUUUGCCACAUCUUCUCUUUAUUACAUCAGCAAAAAAAAAAAAAAAUCACUGCCAAAUCUGAUGUCCUAUUAUAUUAGUGCAAUAUUGUAAAUGACCCUCCCCACACACAUUCCAACUGUUCAAUUCCAAUCCUGUU
Nilaparvata lugens (brown planthopper) is the source of this 905-nucleotide long non-coding RNA. RefSeq lists it as uncharacterized. The transcript is spliced from 4 exons. NCBI's taxonomy places the organism in Eukaryota, Metazoa, Arthropoda, Insecta, Hemiptera, Delphacidae. The record is from RefSeq and is a predicted model, not a curated record.